GACGAACGCUGGCGGCGUGCUUAACACAUGCAAGUCGAACGGAAAGGCCCUGCUUUUGUGGGGUGCUCGAGUGGCGAACGGGUGAGUAACACGUGAGUAACCUGCCCUUGACUUUGGGAUAACUUCAGGAAACUGGGGCUAAUACCGGAUAGGAGCUCCUGCUGCAUGGUGGGGGUUGGAAAGUUUCGGCGGUUGGGGAUGGACUCGCGGCUUAUCAGCUUGUUGGUGGGGUAGUGGCUUACCAAGGCUUUGACGAGUAGCCGGCCUGAGAGGGUGACCGGCCACAUUGGGACUGCGAUACGGACCAGAAUCCUACGGGAGGCAGCAGGGGGGAAUAUUGCGCAAUGGGCGGAAGCCUGAUGCAGCAGCGCCGCGUGCGGGAUGACGGCCUUCGGGUUGUAAACCGAUUUCGCCUGUGACGAAGCGUGAGUGACGGUAAUGGGUAAAGAAGCACCGGCUAACUACGUG
This 468-nucleotide ribosomal RNA is filed under the name uncultured bacterium. RNAcentral's name for it is "partial 16S ribosomal RNA". It matches the Rfam family "Bacterial small subunit ribosomal RNA", at positions 28 to 507 of the family's 1533-position model. The record is from RNAcentral.